Molecule: ribosomal RNA, 379 nt
Filed under: uncultured crenarchaeote
Lineage: Archaea; Thermoproteati; Thermoproteota
Description: bacterial SSU rRNA
Rfam family: Archaeal small subunit ribosomal RNA
Source: RNAcentral
UACCAGCUCUUCGAGUGGUGUGGAUGUUUAUUGGGCCUAAAGCAUCCGUAGCUGGCUAAGUUAGUCCCCUGUUAAAUCCACCGAAUUAAUCGUUGGAUCGCGGGGGAUACUGCUUGGCUAGGGGACGAGAGAGGCAGACGGUAUUUUCGGGGUAGGGGUGAAAUCCUAUAAUCCCGGGAAGACCACCAGUGGCGAAGGCUGUCUGCUAGAACGCGCCCGACGGUGAGGGAUGAAAGCUGGGGGAGCGAACCGGAUUAGAUACCCGGGUAGUCCCAGCUGUAAACGAUGCAGGCUAGGUGUUUGGACGGCCACGUGCCGUUCUAGUGCCGCAGGGAAGCUGUUAAGCCUGCCGCCUGGGGAGUACGAUCGCAAGAUUGAA